This 2299-nucleotide ribosomal RNA is filed under the name Campylobacter coli. RNAcentral describes it as "partial 23S ribosomal RNA". It matches the Rfam family "Bacterial large subunit ribosomal RNA", at positions 788 to 2925 of the family's 2925-position model. Lineage: Bacteria; Pseudomonadati; Campylobacterota; Epsilonproteobacteria; Campylobacterales; Campylobacteraceae. The record is from RNAcentral.
GUUGAAAAGCCCCGGGAUGACUUGUGGAUAGGGGUGAAAGGCCAAUCAAACUUCGUGAUAGCUGGUUCUCUCCGAAAUAUAUUUAGGUAUAGCGUUGUGUCGUAAUAUAAGGGGGUAGAGCACUGAAUGGGCUAGGGCAUACACCAAUGUACCAAACCCUAUCAAACUCCGAAUACCUUAUAUGUAAUCACAGCAGUCAGGCGGCGAGUGAUAAAAUCCGUCGUCAAGAGGGAAACAACCCAGACUACCAGCUAAGGUCCCUAAAUCUUACUUAAGUGGAAAACGAUGUGAAGUUACUUAAACAACCAGGAGGUUGGCUUAGAAGCAGCCAUCCUUUAAAGAAAGCGUAAUAGCUCACUGGUCUAGUGAUUUUGCGCGGAAAAUAUAACGGGGCUAAAGUAAGUACCGAAGCUGUAGACUUGCGCACAACUUAGAUUAUUUAAGUUUAGAAUAUGAGAAACUAAGUUAUAUGUUUAGUUAUAUUUUUACUGAUUUUUAUAGAGUAAAGAUAGAAAUAAAACUUAGUAAAAUCAGUAAAAAUAUUCUUAGACUAAAGUUAAGUAGUUUAAGUUGUGUGCAAGUGGUAGGAGAGCGUUCUAUUUGCGUCGAAGGUAUACCGGUAAGGAGUGCUGGAGCGAAUAGAAGUGAGCAUGCAGGCAUGAGUAGCGAUAAUUAAUGUGAGAAUCAUUAACGCCGUAAACCCAAGGUUUCCUACGCGAUGCUCGUCAUCGUAGGGUUAGUCGGGUCCUAAGUCGAGUCCGAAAGGGGUAGACGAUGGCAAAUUGGUUAAUAUUCCAAUACCAACAUUAGUGUGCGAUGGAAGGACGCUUAGGGCUAAGGGGGCUAGCGGAUGGAAGUGCUAGUCUAAGGUCGUAGGAGGUUAUACAGGCAAAUCCGUAUAACAAUACUCCGAGAACUGAAAGGCUUUUUGAAGUCUUCGGAUGGAUAGAAGAACCCCUGAUGCCGUCGAGCCAAGAAAAGUUUCUAAGUUUAGCUAAUGUUGCCCGUACCGUAAACCGACACAGGUGGGUGGGAUGAGUAUUCUAAGGCGCGUGGAAGAACUCUCUUUAAGGAACUCUGCAAAAUAGCACCGUAUCUUCGGUAUAAGGUGUGGUUCGCUUCGUAUUAGGAUUUACUCCGAAAGCGAAGAAACUUACAACAAAGAGUCCCUCCCGACUGUUUACCAAAAACACAGCACUCUGCUAACUCGUAAGAGGAUGUAUAGGGUGUGACGCCUGCCCGGUGCUCGAAGGUUAAUUGAUGGGGUUAGCAUUAGCGAAGCUCUUGAUCGAAGCCCGAGUAAACGGCGGCCGUAACUAUAACGGUCCUAAGGUAGCGAAAUUCCUUGUCGGUUAAAUACCGACCUGCAUGAAUGGCGUAACGAGAUGGGAGCUGUCUCAAAGAGGGAUCCAGUGAAAUUGUAGUGGAGGUGAAAAUUCCUCCUACCCGCGGCAAGACGGAAAGACCCCGUGGACCUUUACUACAGCUUGACACUGCUAUUUGGAUAAGAAUGUGCAGGAUAGGUGGGAGGCUUUGAGUAUAUGACGCCAGUUGUAUAUGAGCCAUUGUUGAGAUACCACUCUUUCUUAUUUGGGUAGCUAACCAGCUUGAGUUAUCCUCAAGUGGGACAAUGUCUGGUGGGUAGUUUGACUGGGGCGGUCGCCUCCCAAAUAAUAACGGAGGCUUACAAAGGUUGGCUCAGAACGGUUGGAAAUCGUUCGUAGAGUAUAAAGGUAUAAGCCAGCUUAACUGCAAGACAUACAAGUCAAGCAGAGACGAAAGUCGGUCUUAGUGAUCCGGUGGUUCUGUGUGGAAGGGCCAUCGCUCAAAGGAUAAAAGGUACCCCGGGGAUAACAGGCUGAUCUCCCCCAAGAGCUCACAUCGACGGGGAGGUUUGGCACCUCGAUGUCGGCUCAUCGCAUCCUGGGGCUGGAGCAGGUCCCAAGGGUAUGGCUGUUCGCCAUUUAAAGCGGUACGCGAGCUGGGUUCAGAACGUCGUGAGACAGUUCGGUCCCUAUCUGCCGUGGGCGUAAGAAGAUUGAAGAGAUUUGACCCUAGUACGAGAGGACCGGGUUGAACAAACCACUGGUGUAGCUGUUGUUCUGCCAAGAGCAUCGCAGCGUAGCUAAGUUUGGAAAGGAUAAACGCUGAAAGCAUCUAAGCGUGAAGCCAACUCUAAGAUGAAUCUUCUCUAAGCUCUCUAGAAGACUACUAGUUUGAUAGGCUGGGUGUGUAAUGGAUGAAAGUCCUUUAGCUGACCAGUACUAAUAGAGCGUUUGGCUUAUCUUUAAUAAAGCAU